GAUGAACGCUGGCGGCGUGCCUAAUACAUGCAAGUCGAGCGAACGGACGAGAAGCUUGCUUCUCUGAUGUUAGCGGCGGACGGGUGAGUAACACGUGGAUAACCUACCUAUAAGACUGGGAAAAUUUGGGAAACCGGGAGCAAACCCGGGAUAAUAUUUUGAACCGCUGGGUUCAAAGGUAAAGUACGGCUUUGCGGUAACUAUUGGAGGAUUCGCGCCGCAUUAGCUAGUUGGUAAGGUAACGGCUUACCAAGGCAACGAUGGAUAGCCGACCUGAGAGGGUGAUCGGCCACACUGGAACUGAGACACGGUCCAGACUCCUACGGGAGGCAGCAGUAGGGAAUCUUCCGCAAUGGGCGAAAGCCUGACGGAGCAACGCCGCGUGAGUGAUGAAGGUCUUCGGAUCGUAAAACUCUGUUAUUAGGGAAGAACAUAUGUGUAAGUAACUGUGCACAUCUUGACGGUACCUAAUCAGAAAGCCACGGCUAACUACGUG
Molecule: ribosomal RNA, 496 nt
Filed under: uncultured bacterium
Lineage: Bacteria
Description: partial 16S ribosomal RNA
Rfam family: Bacterial small subunit ribosomal RNA
Source: RNAcentral